This 305-nucleotide ribosomal RNA is filed under the name uncultured bacterium. RNAcentral's name for it is "bacterial SSU rRNA". It matches the Rfam family "Bacterial small subunit ribosomal RNA", at positions 333 to 636 of the family's 1533-position model. The record is from RNAcentral.
GGGUCCCUACGGGGCGCAGCAGUGAGGAAUAUUGGUCAAUGGUCGGGAGACUGAACCAGCCAAGCCGCGUGAGGGAGGAAGGUACAGAGUAUCGUAAACCUCUUUUGUCAGGGAACAAAGGCGCCCACGGGUGGGCGGAUGAGUGUACCCGAAGAAAAAGCAUCGGCUAACUCCGUGCCAGCAGCCGCGGUAAUACGGAGGAUGCGAGCGUUAUCCGGAUUUAUUGGGUUUAAAGGGUGCGUAGGCGGACAGUCAAGUCAGCGGUAAAAAUGCGGUGCUCAACGCCGUACAGCCGUUGAAACUGG